AAGAACCCCGGGAGGGGAGUGAAAUAGAACCUGAAACCCUGCACUUACAAGCUGUGGAAGCACAUUUCUUGUGUGACCGCGUACUUUUUGUAGAACGGGCCAACGAGUUACGUUAAGUAGCAAGGUUAAGCACUUAAGGUGCGGAGCCGUAGCGAAAGCGAGUUUUAACUGAGCGUUCAGUUACUUGACGUAGACCCGAAACCGGGCGACCUACCCAUGAGCAGGAUGAAGCGAAAGUAAAAUUUCGUGGAGGUCCGAACCCACGAGCGUUGAAAAGCUCGGGGAUGACUUGUGGGUAGCGGUGAAAUUCCAAUCGAGCCCGGAGAUAGCUGGUUCUCCCCGAAAUAGCUUUAGGGCUAGCCUCAAGGUGAGAGAUACGGAGGUAGAGCACUGAAUGUCCUAGGGGGUAUUGCACCUACCGAAGACUAUCAAACUCCGAAUGCCGUCAUCUUAUACUUGGGAGUCAGACUGUGGGUGAUAAGAUUCAUAGUCGAAAGGGCAACAGCCCAGAUCGUCAGCUAAGGUCCCUAAAUGUAAGUUAAGUGGUAAAGGAUGUGGGAUUGCACAGACAACCAGGAUGUUGGCUUAGAAGCAGCCACUCAUUCAAAGAGUGCGUAAUAGCUCACUGGUCGAGUGAUCCUGCGCCGAAGAUUUCCGGGGCUAAAACUUACUACCGAAGCUACGGCAUCAGUAAUGAUGGGUAGGGGAGCUUCCCAUACGGGUUGAAGCAUGACCGUAAGGACAUGUGGACAGUAUGGGAGUGAGAAUGUUGGCAUGAGUAGCGAGAUGUGGGUGAGAAUCCCACAGGCCGUAAACCCAAGGUUUCCAGGGGAAGGUUCGUCCGCCCUGGGUUAGUCGGGACCUAAGCUGAGGCCGAAAGGCGUAGGUGAUGGACAACAGGUUGAUAUUCCUGUACUACCGAUAACCGUUUGAGAGAAGGGAUGACACAGUAGGAUAAGCUAAGCACACUGUUGGUUAUGUGUGCCCAAGCAUUGAGGCAGUCAAAGUAGGCAAAUCCGCUUUGAUAAUGCUGGGAUGUGAUGGGGAGCGAAAUUUAGUAGCGAAGUAGCUGAUUUCACACUGUCAAGAAAAGUCUCUAUCGAGGUUAAAGGUACCCGUACCGCAAACCGACACAGGUGGGUGAGGAGAGUAUCCUAAGGCCAGCGAGAGAACUGUUGUUAAGGAACUCGGCAAAAUGACCCCGUAACUUAGGGAUAAGGGGUGCCACCAUCAGGUGGCCGCAGAGAAUAGGCCCAAGCGACUGUUUACCAAAAACAUAGGUUUCUGCUAAGUCGCAAGACGAUGUAUAGGAGCUGACGCCUGCCCGGUGCUGGAAGGUUAAGGGGAUCUGUUAGAGCAAUCGAAGCAGUGAACUUAAGCCCCAGUAAACGGCGGCCGUAACUAUAACGGUCCUAAGGUAGCGAAAUUCCUUGUCGGGUAAGUUCCGACCCGCACGAAAGGCGUAACGAUUUGGGCACUGUCUCAACAACAGACUCGGUGAAAUUGUAAUUCCGGUGAAGAUGCCGGAUACCUGCGACAGGACGGAAAGACCCCAUGGAGCUUUACUGUAGCUUGACAUUGGGUCUUGGUACUACAUGUACAGGAUAGGUGGGAGGCUUUGAAACCAGGACGCCAGUUUUGGCGGAGCCAUCCUUGGGAUACCACCCUUGUAGUACUGGGACUCUAACCAUAGGCCAUGAAUCUGGUCUUGGGACACUGUCAGGUGGGCAGUUUGACUGGGGCGGUCGCCUCCCAAAAGGUAACGGAGGCGCUCAAAGGUUCUCUCAGUACGGUCGGAAAUCGUACGUAGAGUGUAAAGGCAAAAGAGAGCUUGAUUGCAAGACAUACAGGUCGAGCAAGGAUGAAAAUCGGACUUAGUGAUCCGGUGGUUCUGCGUGGAAGGGCCAUCGCUCAACGGAUAAAAGCUACCCUGGGGAUAACAGGCUUAUCUCCCCCAAGAGUCCACAUCGACGGGGAGGUUUGGCACCUCGAUGUCGGCUCAUCACAUCCUGGGGCUGUAGUAGGUCCCAAGGGUUGGGCUGUUCGCCCAUUAAAGUGGUACGCGAGCUGGGUUCAGAACGUCGUGAGACAGUUCGGUCCCUAUCCGUCGCAGGCGUAGGAAAUUUGAGAAGACCUGUCCUUAGUACGAGAGGACCGGGAUGGACGU
RNAcentral lists this ribosomal RNA (2167 nucleotides) under Clostridioides difficile. RNAcentral describes it as "bacterial LSU rRNA". It matches the Rfam family "Bacterial large subunit ribosomal RNA", at positions 519 to 2704 of the family's 2925-position model. The record is from RNAcentral. Lineage: Bacteria; Bacillati; Bacillota; Clostridia; Peptostreptococcales; Peptostreptococcaceae.